GCGGGUAUGGCGGAAUUGGCAGACGCGCCAGACUUAGGAUCUGGUGUUUACACGUGCAGGUUCGACUCCUGUUACCCGCACCA
Molecule: transfer RNA, 83 nt
Filed under: Clostridia bacterium
Lineage: Bacteria; Bacillati; Bacillota; Clostridia
Description: tRNA-Leu
Rfam family: tRNA
About the family: Transfer RNA (tRNA) molecules are approximately 80 nucleotides in length. Their secondary structure includes four short double-helical elements and three loops (D, anti-codon, and T loops).
Source: RNAcentral